Molecule: ribosomal RNA, 450 nt
Filed under: uncultured bacterium
Lineage: Bacteria
Description: partial 16S ribosomal RNA
Rfam family: Bacterial small subunit ribosomal RNA
Source: RNAcentral
GUGGGGAAUUUUGGACAAUGGGCGCAAGCCUGAUCCAGCAAUGCCGCGUGCAGGAAGAAGGCCUUCGGGUUGUAAACUGCUUUUGUACGGAACGAAAAGGCUCUGGUUAAUACCUGGGGCACAUGACGGUACCGUAAGAAUAAGCACCGGCUAACUACGUGCCAGCAGCCGCGGUAAUACGUAGGGUGCAAGCGUUAAUCGGAAUUACUGGGCGUAAAGCGUGCGCAGGCGGUGCUGUAAGACAGGCGUGAAAUCCCCGGGCUUAACCUGGGAAUGGCGCUUGUGACUGCAGUGCUGGAGUGUGGCAGAGGGGGAUGGAAUUCCGCGUGUAGCAGUGAAAUGCGUAGAUAUGCGGAGGAACACCGAUGGCGAAGGCAAUCCCCUGGACCUGUACUGACGCUCAUGCACGAAAGCGUGGGGAGCAAACAGGAUUAGAUACCCCUGUAGUCC